GCCAGACUCCUACGGGAGGCAGCAGUGGGGAAUAUUGCACAAUGGGGGAAACCCUGAUGCAGCGACGCCGCGUGAGUGAGGAAGUAUUUCGGUAUGUAAAGCUCUAUCAGCAGGGAAGAAAAUGACGGUACCUGACUAAGAAGCCCCGGCUAACUACGUGCCAGCAGCCGCGGUAAUACGUAGGGGGCAAGCGUUAUCCGGAUUUACUGGGUGUAAAGGGAGCGUAGACGGUGAUGCAAGUCAGAAGUGAAAGCCCGGGGCUCAACUCCGGGACUGCUUUUGAAACUGUGUGACUGGAGUGCAGGAGAGGUAAGCGGAAUUCCUGGUGUAGCGGUGAAAUGCGUAGAUAUCAGGAGGAACACCAGUGGCGAAGGCGGCUUACUGGACUGUAACUGACGUUGAGGCUCGAAAGCGUGGGGAGCAAACAGGAUUAGAUACCCCCGUACA
This 447-nucleotide ribosomal RNA is filed under the name uncultured bacterium. RNAcentral's name for it is "bacterial SSU rRNA". It matches the Rfam family "Bacterial small subunit ribosomal RNA", at positions 330 to 794 of the family's 1533-position model. The record is from RNAcentral.